GCCCCUUCGGAGACAUCUGAUAAAAUUGGAACGAUACAAAGAAGAUUACCAUGGCCCUUGCACAAGGAUGACACGCACAAAUCGUGAAAUGGUCUUGACUUGC
Molecule: small nuclear RNA, 103 nt
Organism: Juglans microcarpa x Juglans regia
Lineage: Eukaryota; Viridiplantae; Streptophyta; Magnoliopsida; Fagales; Juglandaceae
Source: RefSeq, a predicted model, not a curated record